RNAcentral lists this small RNA (550 nucleotides) under Pongo abelii (Sumatran orangutan). Its description in RNAcentral is "retained intron". The record is from RNAcentral. Lineage: Eukaryota; Metazoa; Chordata; Mammalia; Primates; Hominidae.
GGGAGGGACUCUUAGACCCUGCCUGGCAUCCACAGAAGGCCCUGGUCCUGGAUCAGGACUGCACCGUGCUGGCGGAUCAGGAAGUGCGGCUGGAAAACAGGAUCACCUUCGAGCUCGAGCUGACGGCGCUGGAGCGCGUGGUACGAAUCUCAGCCAAGCCCACCAAGCGGCUGCAGGAGGCGCUGCAGCCCAUUCUGGAGAAGCACGGCUUGAGCCCGCUAGAGGUGGCGCUGCACCGGCCAGGCGAGAAGCAGCCUCUGGAUCUGGGGACGCUAGUGAGCUCGGUGGCGGCCCAGAGACUGGUUUUGGACACUCUUCCAGGUGUGAAGAUCUCCAAAGCCCGUGACAAAUCUCCCUGCCGCAGCCAGGUGAGCAAAAGGCGAGUGGCCUCUUCCACCCUCUGCUUCUCCCCUCCCGAUUUUGGCUCUGACCCCACAUUCUCGCAGGGCUGCCCACCUAGAACUCAGGACAAGGCCACCCAUCCCCCUCCAGCGUCCCCCAGUUCUCUGGUGAAGGUGCCCAGUAGUGCUACUGGAAAGCGGCAGACCUG